This 818-nucleotide ribosomal RNA is filed under the name Scorzoneroides helvetica. RNAcentral's name for it is "eukaryotic LSU rRNA". The stretch from base 379 to 533 matches the Rfam family "5.8S ribosomal RNA". Lineage: Eukaryota; Viridiplantae; Streptophyta; Magnoliopsida; Asterales; Asteraceae. The record is from RNAcentral.
UGUCGCGGCGACGUGGGCGGUUCGCCGCCGGCGACGUCGCGAGAAUUCCACUGAACCUUAUCAUUUAGAGGAAGGAGAAGUCGUAACAAGGUUUCCGUAGGUGAACCUGCGGAAGGAUCAUUGUCGAACCUGCAAGGCAGAACGACCUGUGAACAUGUAAAUACAACCCGGUGAUGGGGAUAUGGUCCUUGGUCCUUAUCCCCUUCCCCUCCCUGCAUGCGUGUGUGGAGCUCCGUUUGGGGUGCCAUGCAUGUCAUGUUGGGAUUUAACAAACCCCGGCACGGAAUGUGCCAAGGAAAACAAAAGUGAGAAGGACUCGUCUUGUCUUGCCCCGUUCGCGGUGUGCAAGCGGGUUGUGGCCUCUUUGUAAUUAAAAACGACUCUCGGCAACGGAUAUCUCGGCUCACGCAUCGAUGAAGAACGUAGCAAAAUGCGAUACUUGGUGGAAUUGCAGAAUCCCGUGAACCAUCGAGUUUUUGAACGCAAGUUGCGCCCAAAGCCAUCCGGCCGAGGGCACGCCUGCCUGGGCGUCACGCUUCGCGUCGCCCCCCACCAUAUAAUACCCAACGGGUACUCAUGGUGUUUGGGGCGGAGAUUGGCCUCCCGUACUUGUAUUGCGGUUGGCCUAAAAAUGAGUCCCCUUCAGCGGACGCACGACUAGUGGUGGUUGAACAGACCCUCGUCCUUAUCGUGUGUCGUGAGCUGCUAGGGAAGCCCUCACCAAAGACCCCAUUGCAUUGUUUUUUGGACGGUGCUUCGACCGCGACCCCAGGUCAGGCGGGACUACCCGCGGAGUUUAAGCAUAUCAAUAAGCGGAG